AUCCUGGCUCAGGACGAACGCUGGCGGCGUGCCUAAUACAUGCAAGUCGAGCGAAUCAAUAGGAGCUUGCUCCUGUUGGUUAGCGGCGGACGGGUGAGUAACACGUGGGCAACCUGCCUGUAAGACUGGGAUAACACCGGGAAACCGGUGCUAAUACCGGAUAAUCCUUUUCCUCUCAUGAGGAAAAGCUGAAAGUCGGUUUCGGCUGACACUUACAGAUGGGCCCGCGGCGCAUUAGCUAGUUGGUGAGGUAACGGCUCACCAAGGCGACGAUGCGUAGCCGACCUGAGAGGGUGAUCGGCCACACUGGGACUGAGACACGGCCCAGACUCCUACGGGAGGCAGCAGUAGGGAAUCUUCCACAAUGGACGAAAGUCUGAUGGAGCAACGCCGCGUGAGCGAUGAAGGCCUUCGGGUCGUAAAG
Molecule: ribosomal RNA, 424 nt
Filed under: Bacillus sp. R-31547
Lineage: Bacteria; Bacillati; Bacillota; Bacilli; Caryophanales; Bacillaceae
Description: bacterial SSU rRNA
Rfam family: Bacterial small subunit ribosomal RNA
Source: RNAcentral